GACGAACGCUGGCGGCGUGCUUAACACAUGCAAGUCGAACGGAAAGGCCCUGCUUGCAGGGUACUCGAGUGGCGAACGGGUGAGUAACACGUGGGUGAUCUGCCCUGCACUUCGGGAUAAGCCUGGGAAACUGGGUCUAAUACCGGAUAGGAGCCAUUUUUAGUGUGAUGGUUGGAAAGUUUUUUCGGUGUAGGAUGAGCUCGCGGCCUAUCAGCUUGUUGGUGGGGUAAUGGCCUACCAAGGCGGCGACGGGUAGCCGGCCUGAGAGGGUGGACGGCCACAUUGGGACUGAGAUACGGCCCAGACUCCUACGGGAGGCAGCAGUGGGGAAUAUUGCACAAGGGGCGCAAGCCUGAUGCAGCGACGCCGCGUGGGGGAUGACGGCCUUCGGGUUGUAAACGCCUUUCGCUAGGGACGAAGCUUUUUGUGACGGUACCUAGAUAAGAAGCACCGGCUAACUACGUG
This 465-nucleotide ribosomal RNA is filed under the name uncultured bacterium. Its description in RNAcentral is "partial 16S ribosomal RNA". It matches the Rfam family "Bacterial small subunit ribosomal RNA", at positions 28 to 507 of the family's 1533-position model. The record is from RNAcentral.